This 100-nucleotide signal recognition particle RNA is filed under the name Oscillospiraceae bacterium. RNAcentral describes it as "signal recognition particle sRNA small type". It matches the Rfam family "Bacterial small signal recognition particle RNA". Rfam says of the family: The signal recognition particle (SRP) is a universally conserved ribonucleoprotein involved in the co-translational targeting of proteins to membranes. Archaeal SRP consists of a 7S RNA and homologues of the eukaryotic SRP19 and SRP54 proteins. The record is from RNAcentral. Lineage: Bacteria; Bacillati; Bacillota; Clostridia; Eubacteriales; Oscillospiraceae.
GUGUGGGUUCUGUGCGGCGUGGUUGGCACGAACCAUGUCAGGCGGGGAACCGAGCAGCAUUCAGUGUUGCAUCGCGCGCGCCACAGUCAGCCUGUGCGCU